Molecule: ribosomal RNA, 217 nt
Filed under: uncultured bacterium
Lineage: Bacteria
Description: partial 16S ribosomal RNA
Rfam family: Bacterial small subunit ribosomal RNA
Source: RNAcentral
GUGAGGAACCUACCUUCAAGUGGGGAAUAACUGCCAGAAAUGGCAGCUAAUACCGCAUGUGGUUGUCUGUUGGCAUCUUCGGACAACUAAAGAUUUAUCGCUUGAGGACGGCCUCGCGGCCUAUUAGCUAGUUGGUGGGGUAACGGCCUACCAAGGCGAUGAUGGGUAGCUGGUCUGAGAGGACGAUCAGCCACACUGGGACUGAGACACGGCCCAG